GUCCCUCUGUAGUUCAUAAGCCUGACGACUGGGUGUUCAUGCACCCAGGGGAGCUGCGCCUCCUCUGAAACUUCAUUAUGACAUGUGCACAUCACCCGUCUAAUA
Otolemur garnettii (small-eared galago) is the source of this 105-nucleotide small nucleolar RNA. Lineage: Eukaryota; Metazoa; Chordata; Mammalia; Primates; Galagidae. The record is from Ensembl.